Molecule: long non-coding RNA, 503 nt
Organism: Apus apus (common swift)
Lineage: Eukaryota; Metazoa; Chordata; Aves; Apodiformes; Apodidae
Exons: 3
Source: RefSeq, a predicted model, not a curated record
GACAGCUGCAGCACAACAGAGGAUUUAAAAAGAAGUAGUUGUAAAUGUUAAUUUUGGGAAGACAAGAUUCGGGGAUGAUUCACAGCGUAUGCUCACUCUUUUCUGUUCUGUUCAACAUGGAUAUGAAGAAAAAAAUUUUCCUUCCUUCCACACAGCUGCUGCCUUUUAGGAGAGGUGCUCCAUCCCUCUGAUCAUCUUUGUGGCGCUCCCCUGGAAUAGCUCCAACAGUUUCAUGUCUUUCUUGUGCUGAGGACACCAGAGCUGGAUGCAGUACUCCAGGUGGGGUCUCACCAGAGCUGAGAAGAGGGGCAGAAUCUCCUCCCUUGACCUGCUGGUCAUGCUUCUUUUGAUGUAGCUAAGAAUAUGGUUGGCUUUCUGGGCUGCAAGCACACAUUACCAGCUCAUGUCCAGCUUCUCUUUCACCAGAACACUAAUUCCUUCUCCACAGGGCUUCUCUCAAACCCCUUCAUCCCCAAGCCUGUAUUGAUACCAGGGAUUGUCCU